RNAcentral lists this unclassified non-coding RNA (810 nucleotides) under Hevea brasiliensis (rubber tree). The record is from RNAcentral. Lineage: Eukaryota; Viridiplantae; Streptophyta; Magnoliopsida; Malpighiales; Euphorbiaceae.
AAGGAACUAGGUUUGGAAACGGAUGACAAGACAGCUCUCUCUGCAAAGUUUAGGGAAAGACUGGAGCCUAACAAAGAAAAAAUACCGGCUCAUGUCAUGCAAGUUAUUGAAGAAGAACUUACAAAACUGCAACUACUGGAAGCUAGUUCAAGUGAAUUCAAUGUGACACGUAAUUAUCUUGAUUGGUUGACUGCCUUGCCAUGGGGUAGUUACAGUGAUGAGAACUUUGAUGUACUACGGGCAGAAACAAUUCUUGAUGAAGACCACUAUGGGUUAAGCGAUGUUAAGGAAAGGAUCUUGGAAUUUAUAGCUGUGGGAAAACUCCGAGGAACCUCACAAGGGAAAAUCAUAUGCCUCUCUGGCCCUCCUGGAGUGGGCAAAACCAGUAUAGGUCGUUCAAUUGCGCGUGCAUUGAACCGCAAGUUCUACCGAUUUUCUGUUGGAGGGUUGUCUGAUGUCGCUGAAAUAAAGGGACAUCGACGGACUUAUAUUGGCGCCAUGCCAGGGAAGAUGGUGCAAUGUUUAAAAAGUGUGGGAACAGCUAAUCCUCUUGUUUUGAUAGAUGAAAUUGAUAAGCUGGGAAGGGGACAUGCUGGUGAUCCAGCAAGUGCUAUGUUGGAACUUCUUGAUCCAGAACAGAAUGCAAAUUUCUUGGAUCAUUAUCUUGAUGUCCCUAUUGAUUUAUCAAAGGUUUUGUUUGUCUGCACAGCCAAUGUCUUGGAAAUGAUACCUAAUCCUCUUUUGGAUAGAAUGGAGGUAAUCACAAUUGCUGGUUACAUUACUGAUGAGAAACUGCACAUAGCCCGGGAU